AGGGCCUUCCGUGAACACUGAAGGUGAAUGAAGCCAGAUCCUGUCUCCUCGUUCAUUCACCGGGAUGACAUCUCUCUCUCUUACCCUGUGUGUUAGGACCUUCCUCAAUGGGAAAAUAAACAGAUCUGCCAGAUGACUCUUCUUAGAGUGUGCGGUGUCAGUCAGGAGCCGGACAGAUAAAGGUGUCACACUCAGCCAGGAUAAGUGGGGAAGUGGGUGGGGCUGUGGAUGGGAAAGCAACAGCAAUGUGCAAGAAUCCUGGAGGCCCACAACGAGAAAGGGGAAACAAGCUGAAGUGACUGUCUCUCCCAUCUCCCAUUGUCCAAACAGGAAGGCAGAAAUCAAGGGCACCCCUGGCACAGAACACAGAGUAUGAGAAGGCCUGAGUUCCGAUCCUCAGAACCCAUGAAAAGCUGGUCUCUGCAGCAGCAUCUACAGCCUCAGCUCUUCCAGUGCCAGGGAGCAGACAGGUAGACCUGGUCUCACAGGACAGUCGGUCCAGCUCAGUCAGACUCUAAUAAGUAACAAAACCAUCUGGUUUUAAAGAAAAAAACAAAAACAAAGGGACAGACCUAUCCACCUUCACCCAGCCUGAACCUUGUACUUUAUCAGGUCUCUAGGACACUCACCUACCCUGAGAAGUGGGAGAGCCACUGGCUUGCAGCAGCACAGAUGAUGAGAAAGAGUGAUGUAUCAGGGAAAGAGCCCGGGACCUGAGACAGCCACAACCCAGACUCCCCCGACCCAACGAACGGGCUGAACUGGAGGCUGCUGUGAUUGAGGAAAAUUCAAAAUAAACUGAAGAAGAUUUAAUGGUUUUAAAACAAAGGGAGGGCCUGUUUCUCUGGGACAUAGGCUAAGUUUGCCCAGUGGGUUCCAGCUGUCCUUCAAUCAGGCUAGCCUGGGUUUUGCUUUCGUUUUUAAGAUGAUCUAUUUUCAUUG
RNAcentral lists this long non-coding RNA (942 nucleotides) under Mus caroli (Ryukyu mouse). RNAcentral's name for it is "lncRNA (MGP_CAROLIEiJ_G0003221.1)". The record is from RNAcentral. Lineage: Eukaryota; Metazoa; Chordata; Mammalia; Rodentia; Muridae.